Molecule: unclassified non-coding RNA, 485 nt
Filed under: Hevea brasiliensis (rubber tree)
Lineage: Eukaryota; Viridiplantae; Streptophyta; Magnoliopsida; Malpighiales; Euphorbiaceae
Source: RNAcentral
AAUAUUUGGGUCGCUUUGAAUUUCCCCUAGGAGCAGCAGAAUGAGCUGAUCCAUUAGCUCCUGCGCUAGACGACGCCGCAUUAUUACUCAUCGGAUGGAGGAACCAAGUUCUCUUCUCUAAACAGGAAAGAAAAAACAAAGAGAAAGAAGGCGGAGAUCACUAUGAGAAAGAAGAAGAAGAGAUUGAGAGAUUUGAAGACAGAAGGACAAGAAAUAUAUUUGUAGUAAGAGAGGGAGAUGAAAUUGUUGGCUUGACUUGGGAAAGAGCAGAGCGCAGGCAGCAGUCAGGCGAGCAAACGCCCUCUUAUGCAAGGACUCAACUUUCUUACUAUUUUGGAGAUAGAUGUGUUGGCUUUCACCUAGUGCCGUUUUGGGCUUCCACGUUGAAGUUGUAAUCGGUAUUUAGAAUGAUGAUCGAGUAGAAUCGAUUUUCACAUAUAUUCUUAUGUAUAUUAUAAGAUGUAGAAUCGAAACUAGAUUUAUUU